This 441-nucleotide ribosomal RNA is filed under the name uncultured bacterium. RNAcentral's name for it is "partial 16S ribosomal RNA". It matches the Rfam family "Bacterial small subunit ribosomal RNA", at positions 338 to 795 of the family's 1533-position model. The record is from RNAcentral.
CCUACGGGCGACAGCAGUGAGGAAUAUUGCACAAUGGAGGAAACCCUGAAGCAGCAACGCCGCGUGAAUGAAGAAGUAUUUCUGUAUGUAAAGCUCUAUCAGUAGGGGAGAAAAAAGACGGUACCGGACUAAGAAGCCCCGGCUAACUACGUGCCAUCAGCCGCGGUAAUACGUAGGGGGCAAGCGUUAUCCGGAUUUACUGGGUGUAAAGGGAGCGUAGACGGCUGUGCAAGUCUGAAGUGAAAGCCCGUGGCUCAACAGCGGAACUGCUUUGGAAACUGUAUAGCUUGAGUACUGGAGAGGCAGGCGGAAUGCCUAGUGUAGCGGUGAAAUGCGUAGAGAUUAGGAGGAACACCAGUGGCGAAGGCGGCCUGCUGGACAGAAACUGACGUUGAGGCUCGAAAGCGUGGGGAGCAAACAGGAUUAGAUACCCUUGUAGUC